UUCCUAGUUGAUCCUGCUAAUAAUCAUAUGAUUGUCUCAAAGAUUAAGCCAUGCAGGUGUAAGUAUGAAAAAAUUCAGAAUGUGAAAUUGCAAAUGGCUCAUUAAAUCAGUCGUAGCUUGUUUGAUGGUACUUGCUACUCGGAUAACUGUAGUAAUUCUAGAGAAAAUAAGUGAAACAAACCCCGACUUCUGGAAGGGAUGCAUUUAUUAGAUAAAAGGUCGACACGGGUUUUGGCUGUUGCUAUGAUGAUUCAUGAUAACUCGACGGAUCGCACAACCUUUGCGUAGGCGAUACAUCACUCAAAUUUCUACCCUAUCAACUUUCGGUGGUAGGAUAGUGGCCUACUACGGUGGUAACGGGUGACGAAAAUUAGGGUUCGAUUCUGGAAAGGGAGCCUAAGAAAUGACUACCACAUCCAAGGAAGGUAGUAGGGGCACAAGUUACCUAAUUCUAGCACAGGAAGGUAGUGACAAUAUAUAACAAUAUCGGGCUCUACGAGUCUGGUAAUUGUAAUGAGUACAAUCUAAAUCCCUUAAUGGGGAUCCAUUGGAGGGCAACUCUAGUGCCAGCAGUAGCAGUAAUUCCAACUCCAAUAGCAUAUAUUUAAGUUAUUGCAGUUAAAAGCUCAUAAUUGGUCUUAAAGGUGGGUCGGUUGGUUCUCCUUACGGUGAGCAUCAAUUUUCUCGUUCGUACUAGCGACGAUACGCUGCUAGCCUUAAUUGGUCGGGUCAUUCCUCUAGUAUUUUUACUUUGAAGAAAUUAGAGUACUCAAUGCAAGCAUACGGUUGUAUACAUUAGCAUGGGAUAACAUAAUAGGAUUUUGAUCCGAUCGUGUCGACCUUCGAAAUUCAGGUAAUGAUUAACAGAGACAGUUGGGGGCAUAAGUUGUAAUACCCCAAAAAUUGCUACAGUAAGAAAGUAAGAUAAUAUUCCUGAUAUAGU
Molecule: non-coding RNA, 943 nt
Organism: Gossypium raimondii (Peruvian cotton)
Lineage: Eukaryota; Viridiplantae; Streptophyta; Magnoliopsida; Malvales; Malvaceae
Source: Rfam